This 46-nucleotide non-coding RNA is filed under the name Trichobilharzia regenti. Lineage: Eukaryota; Metazoa; Platyhelminthes; Trematoda; Strigeidida; Schistosomatidae. The record is from RNAcentral.
GUACUGAUGAAGAGUCUCAAACUAGGACGAAACAACCGUCCAGUAC